CUCUUUUUCUUAAUCAUACAAAACAUUUUUCUAAUUAUUUUUGCAAAAUCCACAUACACAAAUUUAGGCAUAUUUCGGUUUACACAAAUAUUUGGCAACUAAAUUCACAUACACAAUUUGGCAUAUCAAAAUUAUCCGCUCUUUACUGGCUGCUGGUGUACCAGUACAACCGUUGCUGCCGCUCACUGCUGUUUGCUUGGCAUAGCUUUCCUCCUAUUCCUACUUUUGGUGGCUCCGUGUUUAUUAAUUAUUUAUUUUUACGUAUAUACUUUUUAUUUUUGGUUUAUUUUUGGUUUUCUGAAAAAAAAUCAUUUUGAUAUUCUUUCAUUGUAUUUAUUACGGAAGCGUAUUAGCGCCACACAUUUUUUUUUUAAUUUUUCUUC
Molecule: long non-coding RNA, 383 nt
Filed under: Mytilus galloprovincialis (Mediterranean mussel)
Lineage: Eukaryota; Metazoa; Mollusca; Bivalvia; Mytilida; Mytilidae
Source: RNAcentral